CCCUUAGACGUUCUGGGCCGCACGCGCGCUACACUGACCAGUGCAACAAGCAUCCGUCCUUGGCCGACAGGCCCGGGCAAUCUUUGAACGCUGGUCGUGAUGGGGAUAGACUUUUGCAAUUUUUGGUCUUCAACGAGGAAUUCCUAGUAAACGCAAGUCAUCAACUUGCAUUGAUUACUUCCCUGCCCUUUGUACACACCGCCCGUCGCACCUACCGAUUGAAUGGUCCGGUGAAGCCUCCGGAUUGGCGCGCACCUCGGUGCCGCCGAGAAGUUGGCUAAACCUUACCAUUUAGAGGAAGGUGAANUCGUANCA
This 315-nucleotide ribosomal RNA is filed under the name uncultured eukaryote. RNAcentral describes it as "partial 18S ribosomal RNA". It matches the Rfam family "Eukaryotic small subunit ribosomal RNA", at positions 1470 to 1796 of the family's 1831-position model. The record is from RNAcentral.